GGCCGGAUAAGGCGUUUACGCCGCAUUCGGCAACCAACGCCUGAUGCGACGCUUGCGCGUCUUAUCAGGCC
RNAcentral lists this non-coding RNA (71 nucleotides) under Escherichia coli. RNAcentral describes it as "Nucleoid-associated noncoding RNA 4 (CssrE)". It matches the Rfam family "Nucleoid-associated noncoding RNA 4 (CssrE)". Rfam says of the family: In E. coli small RNA transcribed from repeated extragenic palindromic element (REP325) called nucleoid-associated ncRNA 4 (nRNA4) collaborates HU protein in condensing the DNA. The secondary structure but not the sequence of the RNA is important in nucleoid condensation. Lineage: Bacteria; Pseudomonadati; Pseudomonadota; Gammaproteobacteria; Enterobacterales; Enterobacteriaceae. RNAcentral also lists the same sequence under 3 other names. The record is from RNAcentral.